This 545-nucleotide small RNA is filed under the name Pongo abelii (Sumatran orangutan). RNAcentral's name for it is "processed transcript". The record is from RNAcentral. Lineage: Eukaryota; Metazoa; Chordata; Mammalia; Primates; Hominidae.
AUUUCAGAAAGAGAAAGAGGCUCAGAAAAAAAGGGAGGAGGAGCAUAAGCCUGUUGCGGUCCCAUCAGCGGAAGCUCAGGGCCUGCGGGAACUGGAGGGUGCCUCUGACCCCUUGCUCUCACUCUUUGGCUCUACUUCUGACAACGACUUGCUCCAGGCGGCCACUGCCAUGGACUCGCUGACGGAUUUGGACUUGGAGCAUCUGCUCAGUGAGUCUCCAGAAGGAAGCCCCUUCCGUGAUAUGGAUGAUGGAAGUGAUUCCCUUGGGGUGGGAUUGGACCAGGAAUUCAGGCAGCCCUCUUCUCUCCCCGAAGGCCUGCCGGCACCCCUGGAGAAGCGCGUUAAGGAGCUGGCUCAGCAUAGAGGCGCAGACUCGGGAGCUGAGCAGUCAGGUGCGCUCUGGGGUGUAUGCCUAUCUUGCGUCAUUCCUGCCCUGCAGCAAGGAUGCCCUGCUCAAGCGUGCUCGGAAACUUCACCUCUAUGAACAGGGGGGCCGUCUGAAGGAGCCUCUCCAGAAGCUCAAGGAAGCCAUUGGCAGGGCGAUG